RNAcentral lists this long non-coding RNA (552 nucleotides) under Equus asinus (donkey). RNAcentral describes it as "lncRNA (ENSEASG00005037279.1)". The record is from RNAcentral. Lineage: Eukaryota; Metazoa; Chordata; Mammalia; Perissodactyla; Equidae.
GGAGAACCUCCUACGACGUGAUAGCCACCUGGAAAAAACGCCCAGAACCAAGGAACCGAUGCGGGUCUGUUUUCUGUUGGUGAUGAGAUACCGUACCCAUAUGGAUUGGUGGACUCCCUUCAGUUUCCCUAAGGCCACACAGUGGUCUCCAGUCUGCUGGGUGGGCUGAAACAGUGGCCCUUGGUAGAUCUGAAACUUAGCGGGAUUGUCUCCAAGUCAGAGACUGCAGUACAGCAAAUCACGUGUCCAAAGUCACCCAAGAUCUCGAUGACCGAGCGGAAAAUACCGUGUACUUUCAUAACUACUUCUAGCCUGACGGAGGGAAAAAUUCAAGUCAUCUAAAAAUAGAAAACCAUGGUAGUUUUAAAAAUUAGAAAUCUUUAGUGCUGCCUGCCUUUGUUCUCUUUUUCAGUACACCACUGGGCCAGCCCCUAAAAGUCACAUUUUAAGAACCAGUUGUGGGGGCCAGCCAGGUAGUGUAGUGGUUAAGUUCGUGCACUCCACUUUGGCCACCUGGGGUUUGCAGGUUUGGAUCCAGGGCACAGACUUACA